Molecule: ribosomal RNA, 407 nt
Filed under: Troglophilus brevicauda
Lineage: Eukaryota; Metazoa; Arthropoda; Insecta; Orthoptera; Rhaphidophoridae
Description: partial 16S ribosomal RNA
Rfam family: Bacterial large subunit ribosomal RNA
Source: RNAcentral
AUUUUGACUGUGCAAAGGUAGCAUAAUCAUUAGUCUUUUAAUUGGGGACUGGUAUGAAUGGUUUAACGAGGUAUUAGCUGUCUCAUUUUAAUAAAUUGAAUUUAACUUUUGAGUCAAAAGGCUUAAAUGGAAUUGGAGGACGAGAAGACCCUAUAGAGCUUUAUAAAUUAAAUAUUAAGUUGGAUUUAGGUGUUUUGUUUGGUUUAAAUAUUUAAUCUAUUUUAUUGGGGUGAUAUGAAGAUUUAAUAAACUCUUUAUAAUAAAUAAACAUUGAUAAGUGAAUAAUUGAUCCAUUUUUAGUGAUUAUAAGAUUAAGUUACCUUAGGGAUAACAGCGUAAUGUUUUUUAAGAGUUCUUAUCGACAAAAAAGAUUGCGACCUCGAUGUUGGAUUAAGGAAAAAAUUGGG